GAAACGACCCGCCCCGAAACCCCCCAGGCGAGUCUAUCUAGUUACAUCAAAACAGACUUAAAAAUAAUAUUAUACGUAAAGAAUCUGCUGAAAAUUCGACAGAGUCUCCUUUAUAUAUAUAACACUCCCAAAGUACAAAUAUGAAUAUACAACAAACUCCAGUGCUCAACAUACUCAACCAAAAAUACUGAGUUAUAUAAUAUACAACCCCAAAAGAACAAGAUGACCAAGAUGUCCCAACAAAAACAUUUAUAUACUCUAGCACCAUCACGUGGCCAAGACUCAAAAUAUAUACAGUCGCUGGGUCGGUCUGGUGUACCUGCAACCUCCUGGUGAGGGGGGGAAAAUAUAAUAAAAACGGGGUGAGUUUAAAACUCAGUGAGAUCAGUGAGUGGAUAGUAGGUUUGAAAAUUGAUCUUUACUUUAAAAGAAAUAAGCAUAUCCAAACACGGUUUCAUUAAACCAUAAGUGAGAAAUCAGAAAUAAAUCAUUAAAUAUUUAAAUCAGAUUACCAACCAUAGAAAUCAUAUCACCAAAUCAUAUCGAUUUCACAAAUCUGAAAAUCAUAUCUCAUCAUAUCUCUGCAUGCAUAAUCUAGUCCCCAAAGGACAAAAGCGCCCAAGCACACGGCCCAAAGCCUCUGUGUGUACUCAGACAGGCCCCAAAGGCCUCCUUACAAUCAGAGCGCGCACCUCCCUUAUUACCCUUCAGUUUGGCGGGCCUCCCUUAUUACCCCUCAUCUAUAUCACUGUACUCAUAUUCACAUACCUCUUUACCACAUUUUAAAUCAUACCACAUUUGAAUCCACUUUUCUUAACUUUCAAAUAAUAUCACACUUUAUUCAAAAUCGAUACGCAAAAUUAUUAACCAAACAUUUUCAUAUAAUAUCAACAAGUGAAUAAAAUCCAUUUCGAGAAAUCAUUAAAUCAGCACAUUUAAAAAUACUUAUUCCGCAACCAUGCUUUACUAUCAUAAUUAACUCUAAAAAUAAGUUUCGUAUAUUCCACUCACAGUGACGGUGUUCACAGUCGGUUAUCGUCUACGUCCGCGGACCGGUUCUCGCUCGCGGAUCCUCCUAAAUCAAGGAAACGACAUAAUUAUUCUCCGUAAAUCGAAAUUCCGACUAAAUAUAUGCAAUAACUCGAAACGAACAUUUAUCCAUAAUUAACAACUCCCGUGACGAUAAAAUUACUAAAAUGCCCUUGAGUCCGUAAAUCAUUAACAUGCUCCGAAAUCAUAAAUCACCGAAUUAUCCUCGAAAUCGUAAUUACACCCAAUUCACAAUUCUAUGAAUUACUAAAAUAUCCACAGGCUCAGAAAUGACAAAAUUGCCCUCAUAGUGUGAAAUUACCAAAAUGCCCUUGCCGGUCAACGGUCACCGGAAUUUGGUCAACGCUGGCCAGGAAGCUCAAAUCUUAAAGUGCCAAUCACGCUGAGUUCAAUGGUACCGGCGGUGAGCUCCAACGCGCGGCAACGACGCCGGAAUCUAGCUCGACAGCCGUGAGUUCCAACAAUCGACUGGCAGCAAAACGACGACUCUCGGUGCCUAUGAAUGGUCGGAAAUGGAAGAGGGAGUCAUGAGGAACAAAAUCCAACCGGUGGUGUCACUCAAAACCGGCGAAAAUCUCGGCGGAGUAAAGUGAAGCAGUCGCGGGUUUCAAGCUUCGAUCGCCGGCGUUCCGGUUCGUUUUCGGCAGUGAGGAUGGCAGGGGAACGACGGUAGGCUUCUAAGCUUCAGAUCGGUACCAAGCUCGGCCAAAACAGUGGUCGGAAACGUGAAAUCCGUCCGGGUUAAAGUCGCGGGUCGGGUCGGAUCCGGCGGGUCAAGAUCGGGUAAGUUGGCAGCUUCUCUCUCUCUGUUUUACACGUGCAUGUGUUUCCUCUGUUUCCAACAUAUUCCUUUGCUUAUAAACUCUUUCACCGCCUCAUGCCAUUUUACAUUCACAGGUAUUACAAUCCUCCCCCCUUAUAAAAAUUUCGUCCUCGAAAUUUACGUAC
This 1998-nucleotide long non-coding RNA is filed under the name Citrus x clementina. Its description in RNAcentral is "Citrus clementina (C. clementina) long non-coding RNA (CCLE_LNC006175)". Lineage: Eukaryota; Viridiplantae; Streptophyta; Magnoliopsida; Sapindales; Rutaceae. The record is from RNAcentral.